Molecule: ribosomal RNA, 432 nt
Filed under: uncultured bacterium
Lineage: Bacteria
Description: partial 16S ribosomal RNA
Rfam family: Bacterial small subunit ribosomal RNA
Source: RNAcentral
ACGAACGCUGGCGGCAGGCCUCACACAUGCAAGUCGAGCGAGGACUUCGGUUCUAGCGGCGGACGGGUGAGUAACGCGUGGGAAUGUGCCCUUCUCUACGGAAUAGCCCUGGGAAACUGGGAGUAAUACCGUAUACGCCCUAUUGGGGAAAGAUUUAUCGGAGAAGGAUCAGCCCGCGUUGGAUUAGGUAGUUGGUGGGGUAAUGGCCUACCAAGCCGACGAUCCAUAGCUGGUUUGAGAGGAUGAUCAGCCACACUGGGACUGAGACACGGCCCAGACUCCUACGGGAGGCAGCAGUGGGGAAUCUUAGACAAUGGGGGCAACCCUGAUCUAGCCAUGCCGCGUGAGUGAUGAAGGCCUUAGGGUUGUAAAGCUCUUUCAGCUGGGAAGAUAAUGACGGUACCAGCAGAAGAAGCCCCGGCUAACUCCGUG